This is a long non-coding RNA of Eucalyptus grandis, 223 nucleotides long. RefSeq lists it as uncharacterized. The record is from RefSeq and is a predicted model, not a curated record. Lineage: Eukaryota; Viridiplantae; Streptophyta; Magnoliopsida; Myrtales; Myrtaceae. The transcript has 4 exons.
AGUUGGCUUGUCAGAUAUAUGAAGAGGCGAAAAAGUUUGCAUAUCAAACCGUUGUGAAGGUUGCUGUUGCAUAUGGUGGUGCGCCAUUUGGUCAGCAGUUGGCAUCGCCACCUCGCUGCCCUGCCGAGACUGUGUCCGGCGGCAUCACGAAUCUAUUGUUGAAGGUUUCUGUGAAAGAAGAAAGCGGAAAUGAGGAAUCCAUUACCGUCAGAUUGUAUGGGCC